GGUUCGUUUUGAGUGUGAGCCGUCCAGCUCAAGAUUUUUUUUAGCCCUACUUUUCACAAAGCUGCUGCACUCGUUUAGAUUCUCUGACCCUGCUCCCGAGAACUCAUCGACGCCGUCCAUGCUGUCCUCCUCUCCGGCGCCGUCACAAGAGGGCGCCGCCGUUCCCUCCUCCUGGGCGGAAGCUGCGUCCUCGGCGGCGCUCCGGCACUACCGCUCACUGGCCAAGAAAGGGAAGCCGCAGGGGCGCGAGUCCACGGUCCUCGCCGCCAUCCUCCUCUCUGCCCCGCAGGACUCGCACAGCCUCACUGUGCUCUCCAUGGGCACCGGCACCAAGUGCCUCGGUGCCUCGAUGCUCAGCGCACGUGGGGACCUCGUUCACGACGCGCACGCUGAGGUCAUCGCUCGCCGCGCGCUGCUCCGCCUCGUCUACUCCGAGAUCGGCCGUGGCGCCCCGCCUGAUUGGCUGGUUGCUUCCGGGGAUGCUGGGAGAUGGAGGCUGAGGGAUGGGCACUGCCUUCAUCUUUACAUCACACAACUCCCAUGUGGAGUCAUGCCAGUACCACCAUCGCAGUCUGAUUUGCCAAGAAAACAGCUGAACAGUAUGAAUGUCGAAAUUGGCUUUGUUCAAAGGAAACCAGGGCGUGGUGAUACAACAUCGUCCAUGAGCUGCUUUGACAAAAUCACCCGCUGGAGCGUUGUAGGAAUUCAAGGUGCAUUGCUGUCACAUAUACUGGAACCCUUGUAUUUGUCCACCAUUACUAUUGGACAAUUACCUGAUGGUACUCCUGAACGGUUCUCUAUUAAAAAUAAUAUCAAGAAGGCCCUGGAUGCUCGUCUGUCCUCUCUACCCACCGAAUUGCCGCCUCCUUUCAAAAUGCAGAAGCCAAAGGUUUUUGAGGCGCCUGUCCCACCAACAGAGUUUCAACAGAUUCCUGGAGACGUACGCCUCUUGACAUGCGGGUACUCGAUUUGUUGGAAUAAAUCCGGUUUGCAUGAAGUUGUCUUAGGCACAACUGGUAGGAAACAAGGAACCUCAUCAAAGGCAGCACACUUACCCUCCACCGAGUCACUGGUCUGCAAGAGAAGACUACUAGAAGCAUUUUUGUCCCUUGAGCAUCCUUUGGUGAGGCAACUAAAAUGCGAGGAGCUAUCUUACCGGGCACUUAAGGAUACGGCUCAUGAAUACCAUCACGCGCUUGAGCUCCUCAGGAAGGCCCCAUUUUUUGGCUGCUGGCGAGCUAAGCCUACAUUUGUUGAUUCGUUUGCAGUUUCACGGUGAUGUCUCGUGAACUGGUGAAUGCCAUCUCCCUGUUUCUUUUUGUCUGUUGAAAAAACAUACUAUCUCCGUCCCAAAAUAUAGUUCUUUCUAGCCUAUUUUUUUCCGAUCCAUAUUAAUAAACGUAUAAAUAGUGUAGAAUGAAUUAUAUUUUAGGACCGAGGGAGUAGGUCUGAUCCAGCUUUGUUCUGUGUGAAAUUGUAUAUGUUGGUGGUCCAUGAAUGAAUCAAACUGAACUUAUGCGCGCGUGCUGCUGUCACUUGAUUCCAAGCACUCCCUCCCGGCCUCCCCGCGCCAGAGAGUUCAAGUUCUGAAUAAUGGUAGGAUUUCAAGUUCUUUUACUCAAGAAUCGAGAUGUGAAAUUUAUCGCGCGCGUGACUGCGUGAGCACCGAACAACUAAUGCCUUUCUGCUCGCUCGCUUCAAUUUCCUGGACGAGCCUCACCGAGGUCCAGGUCGUUUUUGAGGUUCAUCGGCGUCAAGCCGUCAGCCGCUGCCGGUCCAUUUGUUCUCGACGGAUGGAUCCUGGAAUCCCGCCCGACUCCCGAGACUGGAGGACAAGAGACUCCGGAGACCGGAUCACAAGCAAGCAACAUGUUCGUUUGGUUUGGCUUUAAUUUGUAACGAAUUUUAUUGUUUUUACAGGAUUUUGUAUCUAUAGUUUACAGCUGACUUUAAUCUGAAGCAAACAGCAUAAUA
Molecule: RNA transcript, 1974 nt
Organism: Zea mays
Lineage: Eukaryota; Viridiplantae; Streptophyta; Magnoliopsida; Poales; Poaceae
Exons: 10
Source: RefSeq, marked validated